Molecule: unclassified non-coding RNA, 416 nt
Filed under: Hevea brasiliensis (rubber tree)
Lineage: Eukaryota; Viridiplantae; Streptophyta; Magnoliopsida; Malpighiales; Euphorbiaceae
Source: RNAcentral
AUUGCCAAAGGAACAGCUUACUCUGGCAGGGCUGACUGGACACCACAUUGCUGCAACUGUACUAAGAUUACUUGGCCGCACCCGUGAAGCUCUCCUUUUAAUGUCUUAGAAAUCUAUAUUUUCCCUGCUAUAAGGCUUACUGAUUGAAGCUGCCUCAGAGAACAAAGCCAAAAGAUAGAUGGAAGCUUAAGAUGUUGCUGAGCCUACAGUUCUACACUGAUUUUUGUACCCUCUAUAUAAUUCCUAGUAAUUAGUUUAUAUGUGAGGCACUGACAACAUUGGUGAUAUGCAUUUUCUCCCGUUCAUUAAUUCUUCCUUUCACUAUCAUUAACAAUAUUAGGCAAUUUCUUGCCAUUUAUCAAUAAGAUUUUGAUGAUGAACGUAAAUUUAGAAUCCUGUCCAUUUGUUUAAGGAAU